GAUGAACGCUAGCGGCAGGCCUAACACAUGCAAGUCGAGGGGUAGUUACUUUCGGGUAGUGAGACCGGCGCACGGGUGCGUAACGCGUAUGCAAUCUACCUUUUACAGGGGAAUAGCCCAGAGAAAUUUGGAUUAAUGCCCCAUAGUAUGUAUGAAUCGCAUGGUUUAUACAUUAAAGUUCCAACGGUAAAAGAUGAGCAUGCGUCCCAUUAGUUAGUUGGUAAGGUAACGGCUUACCAAGAAGAUGAUGGGUAGGGGUCCUGAGAGGGAGAGCCCCCACCCUGGGAAUGACGCACGGACCAAACUCCUACGGGAGGCAGCAGUUAGGAAUAUUGGACAAGGGGCGCAAGCCUGAUCCAGCCAUGCCGCGUGCAGGAAGAAGCAUCUAGGGGGUGUAAACUGCUUUUGUACGGGAAGAAACACUCCCUCGUGAGGGAGCUUGACGGUACCGUAAGAAUAAGGAUCGGCUAACUCCGUGCCAGCAGCCGCCGUAA
RNAcentral lists this ribosomal RNA (494 nucleotides) under uncultured bacterium. Its description in RNAcentral is "partial 16S ribosomal RNA". It matches the Rfam family "Bacterial small subunit ribosomal RNA", at positions 28 to 523 of the family's 1533-position model. The record is from RNAcentral.